RNAcentral lists this ribosomal RNA (460 nucleotides) under uncultured bacterium. Its description in RNAcentral is "partial 16S ribosomal RNA". It matches the Rfam family "Bacterial small subunit ribosomal RNA", at positions 338 to 795 of the family's 1533-position model. The record is from RNAcentral.
CCUACGGGCGGCUGCAGUGAGGAAUAUUGGUCAAUGGACGAGAGUCUGAACCAGCCAAGUAGCGUGAAGGAUGACUGCCCUAUGGGUUGUAAACUUCUUUUAUAUGGGAAUAAAACGUUCCACGUGUGGGAUUUUGUAUGUACCAUAUGAAUAAGGAUCGGCUAACUCCGUGCCAGCAGCCGCGGUAAUACGGAGGAUCCGAGCGUUAUCCGGAUUUAUUGGGUUUAAAGGGAGCGUAGGUGGAUUGUUAAGUCAGUUGUGAAAGUUUGCGGCUCAACCGUAAAAUUGCAGUUGAAACUGGCAGUCUUGAGUACAGUAGAGGUGGGCGGAAGUCGUGGUGUAGCGGUGAAAUGCUUAGAUAUCACGAAGAACUCCGAUUGCGAAGGCAGUUCACUGGACUGCAACUGACACUGAGGCUCGAAAGUGUGGGUAUCAAACAGGAUUAGAUACCCUAGUAGUC